Molecule: unclassified non-coding RNA, 315 nt
Filed under: Hevea brasiliensis (rubber tree)
Lineage: Eukaryota; Viridiplantae; Streptophyta; Magnoliopsida; Malpighiales; Euphorbiaceae
Source: RNAcentral
UUGGAAAAAAAAAAGAGAAGGUUCUAGAAUUAGGGGAGGAAGAAAUUGUGCUUAUGGCUGGUUCGAAAAUGGAGGGGUCAUCAGCUCCAGCUGUAAGGAGAGACCCAUAUGAGGUAUUGUCUGUAGCAAGGGAUUCAUCUGAUCAAGAGAUUAAAAGUGCUUAUAGAAAGCUCGCACUCAAGUAUCAUCCCGACAAGAAUGCUAACAAUCCUGAAGCUUCAGAACUCUUCAAAGAGGUUGCAUAUUCCUAUGGUGUUCUAUCUGAUCCUGAAAAAAGGAGGCAAUAUGAUAUGGCAGGUUUUGAGGCUAUUGAUG